GAUGAACGCUGGCGGCGUGCUUAACACAUGCAAGUCGAACGAGAAAUGUAGACUGAAACCUUCGGGCGGAAGCCUUCACUUGGAGUGGCCGACGGGUUAAUAUCGCCUGGGUAACCUGCCUCCUUCAGGGAGCUAACAGUAGGACACGACAGGUAAUCCCGCAUCAUACCACAGCAUCGCAUGAUUCGGGGGUUAAAACUCCGGUGGCAUGAGAUGGACCCGCGUUCGAUUUGGUGGUGGGCGGGGUAACUGACCACCAAAGCGACGGUCGAGAGCAGAUGGGAGAGGAUGACCGGCCACAUUGGGACUGAGACACGGCCCAAACUCCUACGGGAGGCAGCAGUGGGGAAUAUUGCACAAGGGGGGAAACCCUGAUGCAGCGACGCCGCGUGAGUGAAGAAGUACUUCAGUAUGUAAAGCUCUAUCAGCAGGGAAGAAAAUGACGGUACCUGAGUAAGAAGCCCCGGCUAACUACGUG
RNAcentral lists this ribosomal RNA (478 nucleotides) under uncultured bacterium. Its description in RNAcentral is "partial 16S ribosomal RNA". It matches the Rfam family "Bacterial small subunit ribosomal RNA", at positions 28 to 507 of the family's 1533-position model. The record is from RNAcentral.